GGCGGCAUAGCCAAGCGGUAAGGCAAUGGUUUGCAAAACCAUCACCCCCGGUUCAAAUCCGGGUGCCGCCUCCA
RNAcentral lists this transfer RNA (74 nucleotides) under Planctomycetes bacterium ADurb.Bin069. RNAcentral's name for it is "tRNA-Cys". It matches the Rfam family "tRNA". Rfam says of the family: Transfer RNA (tRNA) molecules are approximately 80 nucleotides in length. Their secondary structure includes four short double-helical elements and three loops (D, anti-codon, and T loops). The record is from RNAcentral. Lineage: Bacteria; Pseudomonadati; Planctomycetota. RNAcentral also lists the same sequence under 1 other name.